Molecule: long non-coding RNA, 2052 nt
Filed under: Harpegnathos saltator (Jerdon's jumping ant)
Lineage: Eukaryota; Metazoa; Arthropoda; Insecta; Hymenoptera; Formicidae
Description: uncharacterized LOC112589915
Source: RNAcentral
CGGGUACGUCGGAGGAAUGCGGCAGUAAGUAACGAACUUCGAUGAGUCGUUGAGAUUUUAAUAUCCGUAACGCAUUUGUGAUUUUCGAUUAAGAAAAUAACGCGUUGCUUCCGCCAAUCAAAUGCUUGAUCGAAACAGCGACGUUAAAAAUGAAGUUUUUCGUGAAAAUGUUGUUCGCGAUGGCAUUAUUAACGAUCGUCUUGUCACCGGCGAUUUGUCAAAUCUAUGAUGAAGAAUCAACAGACAACAACACUUUUUUUAUAAAACUUCGAUACAUUGGUGGAUCAUGUCCAGUGAACCAACGGUUGGACAAGGAUGGGAACUGUCGAGUGAUAGAAUAAUGUCACUCACUAAGGAGUUCAAAAUCCGCUUGACGAAAAUCGCUAAGAGACAAUCGCUGGCUAUUCAAGGAUAAAUCGAGAAGAAUGACUAGCAAAACAGGACAAAUAUUAUUCAUAUCGAUGUUACGAUGGCAAUUUCAUCAGAUUAUACAUUAUUGCAUGUACAUAGAAGACAUUGUUCACUUUUUAAGCUGUCAACCUCACAAUUAUAAUAAUAAGUAUGAAUGUUUGAUGGAUUGCGGAGAAAUAUAAUAAUGCAAAGUGUUGCAUGAGAAUCGUGUUAUUGCAUUUUUUUUAUAAAAAAAGAAGCAGCCCACAAGCGCGUUAUACUCAUAUAUCAGACGAUAUCUUCUUAAAAUCCUACCUUUGUUAAAUUAGCCGAUACCGGUAUUCGAUGAAUGUCAACUUCGGACGUUCGCACAUUGCUUUUAUCAGAAAUUUUUCUAUUAAAAUAGGCAUUUUAUGAAAUGUUUAUAACAUGUUUCAUAAAAUUAGAUUAGUUGUAUGUAAGAGUACAAUAAAUAAAAGUGCCGUCAUCGUAUCCUUCUUCACGUACUCGUUUUUCUACUGACAAAAAAGUAAGAAGUGUUUAAAAUACAAUUAUAUUCUUCCCCCAAGAAAAAACUUGUACUUUCAACUUUAUACGAAAAACUAAACGUUUUAUUGCGAAUAAUAAAAGAUGUUAAGAAAUUACAGUCGGUUUCCAUAAAAUUUCGGAAAGAUGAUACUACGGUUGAUGUCGUUAACUUAUAUCAUAAACAAGAACAUUAUUACGUUACUUUUUAUAAGACUUUGAGGACACGAUUCAUUUACCAUUCUCUUCUCUGACUCAUAUGAUUGAUUGUUAUUCGCGAUAUAGUCUUCAAGGAAACUCAUUGAUCAAUCUUUACCUAUAUCAUAGAACAUACAAACAAGUAUUGUAAAUUGCUUCACACACGAGAGCUACAUACAUAAUCGUCUGAAGGUUACAAACGGCGGUUAUAAAUAGCAGGUUUGUCGGUGAAACACGGCAAUAUGUAGCGAACUUCAGUGAGCUAUUGAUAUUGCAACGUCCGUGAUCCAUUUGUGAUUUUCGAUUAAAAAAACGACGUGUCGAUUCCGCCAAUCGCAUAUUUCAUCGAAACAUCGACAUUAAAAAUGAAGUUUUUCGUGAAAGUGUUGCUCGCGCUGGUGUUGUUAAUCUUGAUUGUUUUAUCACCAACGAUUUGUGAAGACACGAAAGAUGAAGACUACGAAGAUCCAUGGGGUGGUAUAUGGAAUAAAACACGUGAGAGAUUAUCGUCUGAUGUUAGAGACGGUCAUAUUAUACAAUUUCCAGACCUAUCGCAAUGCCCAGAAAAUCAACGGCAAGACAAAGAUGGAAGAUGUCGAGUAACAGAAUAAUUUCAUUCACUAAGGUGCGAAACUCGCUAAGCGUAAAUCGCUAAGAGCUUGACUAUUCAAGGAUAAAUCAAGGAGAAUGACAAACGAAACGGAACAAUUAUUAAUAAUAUCUAACAAUGCUACGACAGCAACUUUAUUAGAUUAUAAUUUAUUGUAUGUGGAAGACAUUGUGCACUUUUUAAACUGUCAGAUUCAAUUGUGUAUAGCAAUAUUUGGCGAAUUGUAAUUGUUGAUGUAGUGAAAUACGUCGAUUCAAAGUCUCGCAGGAGCAUCAUGUUGUUACAUUCUUUCAUAAUAAAAGCUGUCCAUGUAUUGGGGACUUGAAUAA